This 501-nucleotide ribosomal RNA is filed under the name uncultured bacterium. Its description in RNAcentral is "partial 16S ribosomal RNA". It matches the Rfam family "Bacterial small subunit ribosomal RNA", at positions 28 to 507 of the family's 1533-position model. The record is from RNAcentral.
GACGAACGCUGGCGGCGUGCCUAAUACAUGCAAGUCGAGCGGACCGGAUUGGGGCUUGCCUUGCUUCGGUCAGCGGCGGACGGGUGAGUAACACGUGGGCAACCUGCCCGCAAGACCGGGAUAACUCCGGGAAACCGGAGCUAAUACCGGAUAACACCGAAGACCGCAUGGUCUUCGGUUGAAAGGCGGCCUUUGGGCUGUCACUUGCGGAUGGGCCCGCGGCGCAUUAGCUAGUUGGUGAGGUAACGGCUCACCAAGGCGACGAUGCGUAGCCGGCCGGAGAGGGGGACCGGCGACACGGGGACUGAGACACGGCCCAGACGCCUGCGGGAGGCAGCAGUAGGGAACCUGCCGCAAUGGGGGGAAGCCUGACGGAGCGACGCCGCGGGAGCGGAGAAGGCCUUCGGGGCGGAAAGAUCGGUUGUGAGGGACGAAGGAGCGCCGUUCGAAGAGGGCGUCGCGGUGACGGUACCUCACGAGAAAGCCCCGGCUAACUACGUG